This is a long non-coding RNA of Hyla sarda, 464 nucleotides long. RefSeq lists it as uncharacterized. The record is from RefSeq and is a predicted model, not a curated record. The transcript is spliced from 3 exons. Lineage: Eukaryota; Metazoa; Chordata; Amphibia; Anura; Hylidae.
UGCAAAUUCCAUCAUGCUAGCGGCGCCAUGUUUGAAUAUACAGAGCGGUUACUUUUGAAGAAGACAAGACAGGGCAUGCAAAGCCUUUCAUGCAUGCUGAAUUGAUGGGCAUGGUCUGUUAUCUGGAACGUCGUAGAUAUGAUGACCCAGCGGAGGGACCCUCCUACCAGAGAAAAUCACAAAUCCUGCAGAGAUUAUCCCGCAAACUGGAAAAACUUUAUGGUACAAAUAGAAGCACGAGGCAACUCCAAAAAUGAUUCUCUGACUUAAAAGUCAGACAACCAAACUUACUUCAUGAAAUCUAUAAGGAGAUCAUCGAGGCUAAAGGGGAUACAAACGAUCCUUCAACAUCUGGAUUAACCUAGCCUAGUAAUAAAUCAAGCCUUGGCACAUCAAUUUCUCAAGACUCCGAACAACAUUUUGAUGGGGUAAUUUGUUUAUAAUGGUUGGCUUUGUGUGUGAUU